UUACACAUGCAAGUCGAACGGCAGCACGGGGUCAACUGGUGGCGAGUGGCGAACGGGUGAGUAAUAUAUCGGAACGUACCUAGUAGGUGUGGGGAUAACGCAGCGAAUAGUUGCGCUAAAUACCUGACUAUAUUCUCUAAGGCAGGAAAGUGGGGGCUCGCAAGACCUCAUGCUUUUAGUAGCGGACCGAUUAUCUGAUUAGCUAGUUGGUGAGGUAAAGGCUCACCAAGGCAUCGAUCAGUAGCUGGUCUUGAGGAGGACGUACCAGCCAUACUGGAACUUGAGACACGGUCCAGACUCUAUAACGGGAGGCAGCAGUGGGGAAUUUUGGACAAUGGGGGAAACCCUGACGCAGCAACACCGCGUGGAGGAUGAAGCCCCUUGGGGUGUAAACUCCUUUCGAUCGGGAAGAUAAUGACGGUACUGGUGGAAGAAGCACCGGCUAACUCUGUGCCAGCAGCCGCGGUAAUACAGAGGGUGCAAGCGUUGUUCGGAAUUAUUGGGCGUAAAGGGUGCGUAGGCGGCGCGACAAGUCACCUGUGAAAUCCCCGGGCUUAACUCGGGGCCUGCAGGCGAAACUGUCGUGCUGGAGUAUGGGAGAGGUGCGUGGAAUUCCCGGUGUAAGCGGUGGAAAUGCGUAGAUAUCGGGAGGAAACACCUGUGGGCGGAAAGCGGGCGCACCUGGGACCAUUAACUGACGCUGGAUUGCCACGGAAAGCUAAGGGGAAGCAAACAGGAUUAGGAUACCCUGGGUAGUCUUAGGCCCUUAAACGGAUGAUCACUAGAAUAUUGGGGAUUGGAUUAGCAAAAUUCCUGGGGUUCGAAAGCU
Molecule: ribosomal RNA, 829 nt
Filed under: uncultured bacterium
Lineage: Bacteria
Description: bacterial SSU rRNA
Rfam family: Bacterial small subunit ribosomal RNA
Source: RNAcentral